RNAcentral lists this ribosomal RNA (552 nucleotides) under uncultured bacterium. RNAcentral's name for it is "partial 16S ribosomal RNA". It matches the Rfam family "Bacterial small subunit ribosomal RNA", at positions 355 to 895 of the family's 1533-position model. The record is from RNAcentral.
UGGGGAAUAUUGCACAAUGGGCGCAAGCCUGAUGCAGCCAUGCCGCGUGUGUGAAGAAGGCCUUCGGGUUGUAAAGCACUUUCAGCGAGGAGGAAGGUGGUGGACUUAAUACGUUCAUCAAUUGACGUUACUCGCAGAAGAAGCACCGGCUAACUCCGUGCCAGCAGCCGCGGUAAUACGGAGGGUGCAAGCGUUAAUCGGAAUUACUGGGCGUAAAGCGCACGCAGGCGGUUUGUUAAGUCAGAUGUGAAAUCCCCCGGGCUCAACCUGGGAACUGCAUUUGAAACUGGCAAGCUAGAGUCUCGUAGAGGGGGGUAGAAUUCCAGGUGUAGCGGUGAAAUGCGUAGAGAUCUGGAGGAAUACCGGUGGCGAAGGCGGCCCCCCUGGACGAAGACUGACGCUCAGGUGCGAAAGCGUGGGGAGCAAAACAGGAUUAGAUACCCUGGUAGUCCACGCUGUAAAACGAUGUCGAUUUGGAGGUUGUGCCCUUGAGGCGUGGCUUCCGGAGCUAACGCGUUAAAUCGACCGCCUGGGGAGUACGGCCGCAAGGUU